UUGGCUGUCCUGCUCACCCUCUACCUGAGCCUGGCACAUGAGCUGGACCAGCAAGAUUUACGCUAUCUCCGUGCCCAGCUUCAAAGAAAGCUUCAGUUACUUGCUGGGCCCAAUGAUGGAGAUGCUGAGUGAAAUCUAACCCCCUAGGGUAAAACUAUUGUCCCUAGGCUCCAAAACCCUGUAUGCACUCCUACCCCCAAAUUCCAAGUUCUAUUCCCUGAAAUCCAGGAGCUACCCUAGAGAACCUAUCUUCUGAAUUCCAAGUUCCAUUCCUGAACUUGAGAUUUCUAUACCUAUUCCAACUUGAGACACUACCCCUUGAAGCUUGAGGUGACAUCCUUCUGCAUCAGAGAUGCUUCUUCCCAACCCCCAACUCUGUCUCUUCUGAAUUCCAAACUCUGCCUCCUAGAUCCCAAGCUUCCCUCCUUUUGGACUUUAGGCAUGGUUCUCAGGUUAUGGGAAUAUAGAUUCCUGACUUGGAACCCACAGUUUUAAGAUUUAGUAUCUCUUAACCUAGGAUCCCACUCCUCUACCUAAGGACCACUCAAUUCAAUCCAGAGAGAGGAAUGAGAUCCUUGGGGAACACAUUGAAGGUAUCUCAAACAAGAGACCUCUCUGUCUAUUUUCCCCUCCAAAUUCUAGGGGAAGAAGUUGGCCCUGUUUAGUCCUCUACCACUGAUUCCCAACUCUAUACUCAGGGACAUCUCCUUUUCCGUGAUAUCUUUACCUACCCCAGUGUUAGACUGGAAGUGAAGUGUUUUCUAGCCUCUAGUUUAAAGUCCCUUUCCUUAGCUCCCUGUUUCUCAUCUUCCAGCCUUUUCCUCAGGAUCUUUGAAGUUCUUUCAAGAGUGCUUCGGCAGUUAGACUCUCCAUGCCUUCACAUCAAAUGUUGGGAGGAUAGGGCAGGAGAUGGGAAGGGCGGGACGGCUCUCAGCAGCUGCAGCUUCCUCCCUGGGUCCCCCCCAGGGGCCUGAGUCACGGGCCACCGCCCAGGACCCGGGCUUUGGG
RNAcentral lists this long non-coding RNA (1008 nucleotides) under Monodelphis domestica (gray short-tailed opossum). RNAcentral's name for it is "lncRNA (ENSMODG00000044022.1)". The record is from RNAcentral. Lineage: Eukaryota; Metazoa; Chordata; Mammalia; Didelphimorphia; Didelphidae.